This 311-nucleotide long non-coding RNA is filed under the name Mytilus galloprovincialis (Mediterranean mussel). Lineage: Eukaryota; Metazoa; Mollusca; Bivalvia; Mytilida; Mytilidae. The record is from RNAcentral.
UGGACAAAUAUCCAAUUGUUCAAAAUAUUUGAAAAAAAUAAACAAAAGCUCUGUUAUUCGACUUUUGACGAUGCGAAUUUAAGCAUGGAUGCAAUUUGGGUACUCCUCAUUACAGAAUCUGGGAUGGUUUGGAGGUAAGUUCAGACCAAUUUUUCUAUGAUUCCUUAUGGAUUGAAAAUCAAAUUGGUGUACCUUUAUAAUAAAGAAGGAUACGGCUACAAAAUAAACACAAAAUGGAAAUUUUUGUCUUGAUCAUAAAAAAACUUAGUUGAAAAAACUGUCAAAAUAGGUGCAAUUUGGGUACCGUCACG